UACCCCUGGCUAUGGCAAAGAGACCCUUGUUGGUGUUGUUCUUAUAUCAAUCAGGAGCAAAGUAGAUGGCAGUCCUUCAUUCAUCCCAGCUUUACUCCUAGCAUGGUAGCCAAAGUUGUUUUAUGUCUAGGACUCAUAA
Meriones unguiculatus (Mongolian gerbil) is the source of this 139-nucleotide small nucleolar RNA. RefSeq annotates it as small nucleolar RNA SNORA48. Lineage: Eukaryota; Metazoa; Chordata; Mammalia; Rodentia; Muridae. The record is from RefSeq and is a predicted model, not a curated record. The transcript has a single exon.